Long non-coding RNA from Xiphophorus hellerii (green swordtail), 146 nucleotides. RefSeq lists it as uncharacterized. The transcript has 3 exons. NCBI's taxonomy places the organism in Eukaryota, Metazoa, Chordata, Actinopteri, Cyprinodontiformes, Poeciliidae. The record is from RefSeq and is a predicted model, not a curated record.
AGAAAGUACAGCAUAAGCACUGACAAAGGGCAUCAAAGGAACAGAUGAUGAAUCUGCAUGGAGCCAUUCAGUGCAGGAACUCAGAGCAAAUCCGCAUAUUUCCUUCGAUGAAGGAAAGAUGCCGAGAAAUGAAGCGAUCGACUCGC